This 433-nucleotide ribosomal RNA is filed under the name uncultured bacterium. Its description in RNAcentral is "partial 16S ribosomal RNA". It matches the Rfam family "Bacterial small subunit ribosomal RNA", at positions 29 to 507 of the family's 1533-position model. The record is from RNAcentral.
AGCGAACGCUGGCGGCAGGCUUAACACAUGCAAGUCGAGCGGGCACUUCGGUGUCAGCGGCAGACGGGUGAGUAACACGUGGGAACGUACCCUUUGGUUCGGAAUAACGCUGGGAAACUAGCGCUAAUACCGGAUACGCCCUUUUGGGGAAAGGCUUGCUGCCGAAGGAUCGGCCCACGUCUGAUUAGCUAGUUGGUGGGGUAAUGGCCUACCAAGGCGACGAUCAGUAGCUGGUCUGAGAGGAUGAUCAGCCACACUGGGACUGAGACACGGCCCAGACUCCUACGGGAGGCAGCAGUGGGGAAUAUUGGACAAUGGGCGCAAGCCUGAUCCAGCCAUGCCGCGUGAGUGAUGAAGGCCUUAGGGUUGUAAAGCUCUUUUGUCCGGGACGAUAAUGACGGUACCGGAAGAAUAAGCCCCGGCUAACUUCGUG